Molecule: long non-coding RNA, 1203 nt
Filed under: Numida meleagris (helmeted guineafowl)
Lineage: Eukaryota; Metazoa; Chordata; Aves; Galliformes; Numididae
Description: lncRNA (ENSNMEG00000017807.1)
Source: RNAcentral
UCCAUAUCUGUAGUUUCCUAUGAUCAGAUAUUUUCUUUUUAUGUUCUGGUGGGAUUCUUGUUACACACAUACAUGUGUUAUGAACAAUUAUUUUAUAUAGAUCUUACAUCUAAGAACUAUUAUCCCCUCCUCUGUACUACUCGUCCAAAACAUUAUUAAAAUUCAGCUACAGAAGGAAGAACCUGAUGUGUAAGAGUUCAGAAGUCCUGUUCAACAGUUUUUAAUUCCCCAAAGGAAGAUGGGAGCUGUGCCAAGAGCUAGAGAGAGCUUGGUAUGAAUUUUAGCUCUGACUCAGCUUCACCUUGAACGGAGACCCAGGUGCAGGCUGUUCCCUCUACCCCCUGCUUCUUUCUGGAAAGAUGCCCAGAGGCACAGGAAAGGGCUCCGGCAGGUCUGUGAAUGGGGUGCUCAGUCCGCUGGGUGCAUCACAGGGUGAAUUUGCUCUGGGAAUGGGGCCUGGCUGAGGUGUGCGGCCUACGGAUGCAACAGCCACCCUGCAGUGCACAUACAGCCGGCGUCAUCCCACCCUGCUUCAGGUUGGUGGGACCACAGCUGGCGAGGCAUGAGCACCCUGAAAAGUCCCUGCUAAGAUGUUUAAAAAGAGGUGUCCAGAAGAAGCUCUGCUAGGACACCUGUUGGUGAUAAAGCCAUGGGAACAACUGAGGCUAUUUCCUUCAUCCUCUACUACAUCAGCUGCAGCAUCCUGUGGGUGCCGUACAGGGACAGAGCCAGGGAAGGACGCAAGGCUCCUUGAACUCAGCCUUCUGGAAAUGAGGCCAGUGGCCAGUUGCACGAGCCUCAGAACCAGUUUGAAGAAGAUGCCUGUGUGAGAACAACAUUAAAUGCCUGAGGCUGGACAGGAGCUGAGGCAGAUCCUGCAGCAGGAAGAGGCUGCAGACUCCAGCAUCAGCUGGAAAUGCCUCCUUCCUCCUACUGUGAGCCCUUGUGUUCCUCCUCUCCUAAGGCCUCCUGUGUUAGGUAGCAUGUACUUUAUGGCUCUUGCUCAUGCAAAUGUGUGAUAUAGCUCUGUUUGGCAGGAAGUUUACUGUGGAGUUGAUUAAGAAGGUAAGCAGGUAAUCUCCCUUCAGGGUUAGAUUUGGUGGUUUUAAGGUAUUUUCUAGACUACUGAUUUUAACUAAAAUGUGUCUUUGAAAGCAUUUGACUCCCUCACAGUACAAGAUAUCCAGAUAUCUUAAAUAAGUG